Homo sapiens (human) is the source of this 1776-nucleotide long non-coding RNA. Ensembl annotates it as PACRG antisense RNA 3. Its record names the gene PACRG-AS3. Lineage: Eukaryota; Metazoa; Chordata; Mammalia; Primates; Hominidae. The record is from Ensembl.
AACAACAACUGCCCCGGUGCUUCCCCGUAGAUAGCACCGCUGUUGUUUCAGGAACACAGUCAUCCCUCAGAAAUGGAUUGGGUGACAAGUGGUCUGCAUGCUGCACACGGGCACUGGGCUGGAGACGACCUUCUCACUCACGGACCAAACCCUUGGUGUGACCUCUAUUUCCCAAGAGAUGAGCCUUCAGGCCUGAGGAUCAGUGGCCUGAUUCUUAUAAAGGAGACGGUGGACUCACAAAGGCAUCACGCGCAGAUCAGCGGACAGGCGCGUAACAGGAGGUGCUAAGUGCGCAGGUGGGGUCACGUGCCGCGUCACAGCAGUGCUGGAGGAGAGUCCUGACUCAUGGCCUGGGAUGCUGGGGUUCCUCCCCAGAGAAGCUCUUUUGGACCUGGGAGAAGGAGUAGGACUUUGAUACACCAUGGAGGUCUCUGAAUGUAACCAAAUUGUUCUCCUCUUAUCAUUCCCAUUCACUGGUGUACUUGUUUGUGGAGCCUGCAGAACUGCCUUUUUCAAGAAUGGCAGCUUGGCCUCUAAAUCUGCUUCCCACUGAUGGGAAGAGCUGACAGAAGCUUUAGAGAGGCACAGGAAAUGUUUCAUGACGCUUCCUUAACUGCUAAGGACCCGCAGAUUCUCUUCCUCUUGGGACUCACACACUGACUCAUCUCCCGAUCUUUUGGUGCUCAGCAAAGUGGAGGCUUCUGUUUUGGACUUAGAGUCAAGACCAUUAAAUAAGACUAUGCUCUAAAAAGUACACCUCCGUGGCCCGGAACGAGUGAAUUAACAUCUAUGAGUUUCCAUUUCCUUGUCUAUAAAAUUGUGAAAUUGCAACUUAAGAUUAGUUCUGAAGAUUAAAUGAGGUAACAUAGGUGAAAAUGCUACAUUUAUGUAAGAAAUUACUCUUUCAUAAGGAUGUCAAUGUUUAAAUACGCAUUUUCUCAAUUUUGUUAAUGAAAUACUUUGAAAUUCUUUUUUCUAAUGAAACCUGCUGAAUGUAAAAGAGACCCGUACUAAAGAAAGAUACCACAUGAAGCACCAAGGGUCUCUUUCUGGAUCUAUCAUGACUCUUGUGACUGUUUCAGCAGCACAGAAAUUAAAGGCGAUUGUUAUUCUGGAGGAAGACAAUGAGUCUCAUCUAUAUCUUGUUUGGGUUGAUUUUGUAAACAGAACAUUCCAAAGAUCAUUCUUGCCUUUUGUUUCCACUGAGAACUAGAAUAAAGUAAAACAAACUAUCAAUUUAAGGAAAGCCUCGAAAUUGUUAGCAAUUUCUUCAGUAACUUUCAUCCAUCAACUGAUUUUAUGAACACAAAUUUGCAGAAAUGGGCAAGAAAAACUACUUAACUCAUUGGUGGGAAGCAGUGGGCUCUCUAAGGAGGGAGAGAUAGCAGUGAUUUCACCACCGGACCGUGGAACACAAAGAGCCUGGAAGAGUCUAUCACUUUCAACUGAAACCGCAAGAAGAACUAAGUAGGUUAAGCCCUAAGAAUGUUCCUAGGUAACCUACUUGAGUUGAAAUUUGACUAAGAAUCCUUACACCCUACCUAAGAGAGGUAACGCUAUUAGGAUCGGAAGUGAUUGGAAGCUUUGUUUCAGAUCUCGUCCAAAAGGGAGAACGGUCAAUGACAAAGCUGCUGUGAAUAGUAUUCUGGGGGCGUGGUGGAACCCCGAUUCACUGCUAUCUCCCGAAUCAGCAACUUGACAGAGCGCGCCUCCCGGGCCUUGGAAGCCUUCCAUUCCGAGCUGGCUGGGUGGGACUCAGGUUUUACGGUAUGCUGG